RNAcentral lists this ribosomal RNA (466 nucleotides) under uncultured bacterium. RNAcentral's name for it is "partial 16S ribosomal RNA". It matches the Rfam family "Bacterial small subunit ribosomal RNA", at positions 28 to 507 of the family's 1533-position model. The record is from RNAcentral.
GACGAACGCUGGCGGCGUGCUUAACACAUGCAAGUCGAACGGAAAGGCCUCUUUCGGGGGGUACUGGGGUGGGGAAGGGGGGGGUAACCCGGGGGUAACCUGCCCUUGAUUUGGGGUUACUUUCGGGAACUGGGGGGUAUUCCGGGAAGGGGGCUCUUGUGGAAGGGGGGGGGUGGGAAGGUUCGGCGGUUGGGGGUGGGCUCGCGGGUUAUCAGCUUGGUGGUGGGGUAGUGGCUUACCAAGGCUUUGGCGGGUAGCCGGCCUGAGAGGGUGACCGGCCACAUUGGGACUGAGAUACGGCCCAGACGCCUACGGGAGGCAGCAGUGGGGAAUAUUGCACAAUGGGUGGAAGCCUGAUGCAGCAACGCCGUGUGCGGGAUGACGGCCUUCGGGUUGUAAACCGCUUUCGCUCAUGACGAAGCUUUGUGUGACGGUAGUGGGUAAAGAAGCACCGGCUAACUACGUG